GCUUCCUACACCGGCUGCCCCAAGGAUAUAACACAGGGAGUAUUCCAGUUCUUCAGAUACCAAUCUAUAACCAAGAAGGCUCUUGCAAAAGAAUGGCACUGUAUGGAAUUUCCCAGCUCCAUCUUGCAGAAAAGAAUUCUGGGAAGCUUCCUGGGCUGUAUAUGCAGCUGACCACAAACCUGGUGAAAAGACUGAAGGGUGCAGGUUCUCAUGCUGCUUCUCGAGCCAAAUCUCUCAACCUUCAUACCUGCUAAUGGCUUACAUAAGAAGCUGAAAAUUUAUCGCGUGUAUUCACAAUGUGGAACACCUGUUUUGUUGUACAUCAUAAGUGACAAAUUCUUUUUAAUCAUAAACUUCUGUUUUAAAUAACUGUACCUUUUUUUUUU
Mauremys mutica (yellowpond turtle) is the source of this 386-nucleotide long non-coding RNA. RefSeq lists it as uncharacterized. NCBI's taxonomy places the organism in Eukaryota, Metazoa, Chordata, Testudines, Geoemydidae. The record is from RefSeq and is a predicted model, not a curated record. The transcript is spliced from 3 exons.